AGUUGUAUCCCGUACUUUUAAAAAGAAGAAUUGAGUAUUUCAGUUUGGCGCUUUAUCUUGUAAACACGUUUGUUUAUAAUCUGGGGGGAACUGUAAACAUUGCUUUUAAGUAUUUAGUAGCUCAACACGGUAGCGUUUCUCUGGUUUUCAGUAGAACACCGUCCGAGGCUGGUCGUGCACCUUGGCUCGGUGUGUUUUAGAGAACAGUUCUGCAACAAAACAAGAAUUAAAAAUCAUUUAACGAGGGUGGGUGGAGGUGCCUCAAGAUGUCAGCGAGAUUUGUUAACCAGUGCUCCCUUGCCUCCCAUGCAGCGUCCAGAAUGAGGUACAGCGCGGAUGAGAUGUUUUCCGUUUAAAUCCGCGUAUGUAGAGUUCACAAAUCGCAAAAAAAGCGUUUCGCACUUUUCCCUAACGCUGGAUGACUUUAAACGGGCUUGAAUAAUUUUCGUUUACGUGAAAUAAACACCCUCACACAUUUAUCGCAGCAACUUCUUUAUUUAUGUUUUUUUAUUUUGAGAAACGAAUUCGGGCAAGUUAUUCUGAAUUGAACCAUCCAUUUUCAAGGGAGAUCGAGAUGCUGGGUGAAUUUUCCACUAGAACUACAAACCAACUUUGGCUUUUUCUGUGUACAUACAUGGAUUAGGCGGUAACUAAUUUUAACAUAACUUAAACGAAGUUAGAAGUUUCAGUCUUUGCUUGGAUUGUAUUUUAAGAGCAAUAGUUACUUCAGAAUGCUUCCAGUGCCGUGGCUGGAGGUCGGGAACCUUGUAUCCUGAACCGUGAAAUUAAAUGGGAUCCGAUUGGAUUUUUGCAUACUGAUUGGCAAGCCCAUGACAUCACUGCGUUAUACCCCUCCUCCCUCUCUUUACUGUUUGCAGCCAGAAUCUCUGUCUAUUUCCAUGUAUCUUCAGUCGCCCCCCCCCCUCCCUGUUUUUUUUGGUGGUUAAUGUAACAUACUUUAUUCGUGCAAACAACAAAACAAAACUGGAGAAGGGCAGAAGGAAGUCUUAAAACAAGAGGUUUUUGUUUUUUUUUUUGCAAAUAAAGGGACGUCGGAGUAUUAACGGCGAGGACAGUAUGAACACCACCCCACCCCCUCUCCUUUUUACUUGUCCUUUUUGGUUGUGAAAGGAGUGAUUCCGGGCGAAGGGGAUGGAAAGGCAGCGGUGCUCGAAGUUGCCGCACUCGCUACAUUGUUACCGCCCAGCGCUACAUUGUAGAACGUUCGGACAUUGUUUUCAGAGAUCUUCUGUGCUUGGGAGCUCAAUCCAGUGUGGCUGCUCUCCAAACUACAGAUGCCUCCAAGAAUUUGUGAUCUCUUCGCAAGCCGAACAUCGCCAAGGAGGAGAAGUCCAGUGAAUGACAUGUCUGAAGUAGAUUGGAGGUGUGCAUGGAACAGGAGCUCUUGGUCACCAGAUCCAAUAUCGUGCAAAGAAACAUCUUUGAAUGGUGAUUUGUUUAAACCACCAAAGCUGUGAAUGACACAGGUAACAUUUAACUUGCUGUCAAAGGUUACGCCAUGGUGGAUUGGUUCAUAACCCAGCGUGUGCUGAGCCAACCUCUACUUCAGGCAGAGCAUCGAUUUCCUAACUGAUGAUGGCAGUGAAUCUUUGAUGAUAUUGGCUAUAGUUCCCACUCCCAUUGUCUGUGAACCAGAACAGGAGUGAGUCGAAAGAGUGCAGCAAACAGCACCCGGUGAACCUGUCGCUGAAGCAUUGGGAUUUCUGAAGAGUCGACCAGUGAAUUAUCGGAGUUUUGAUUUGUUUAGUUUAGAGAUACAGGGCCUUGGCCCGCCUAGUCCGCAGCGACCAACCAUCACACGUAAACUUGUUCUAUCCUACACACUGGGGACAAAUUACAGGCACCAAUUAACCUACAAACCUGCACAUCUUUGGAACA
Long non-coding RNA from Amblyraja radiata (thorny skate), 1899 nucleotides. RefSeq lists it as uncharacterized. The transcript has 6 exons. Lineage: Eukaryota; Metazoa; Chordata; Chondrichthyes; Rajiformes; Rajidae. The record is from RefSeq and is a predicted model, not a curated record.